This is a regulatory RNA element of Xanthomonas campestris pv. campestris, 115 nucleotides long. It matches the Rfam family "Glycine riboswitch aptamer". From Rfam's summary of the family: This family represents the bacterial glycine riboswitch. Glycine riboswitches usually consist of two metabolite-binding aptamers domains with similar structures in tandem. The record is from Rfam. Lineage: Bacteria; Pseudomonadati; Pseudomonadota; Gammaproteobacteria; Lysobacterales; Lysobacteraceae.
CAACACAACUCUGGAGAGACCGGUUCACUCCGGCGCCGAAGGGGCACGGAACGCAGGCAGGCCACAGGCCAGGCCGCGUUCUUAAACUCUCAGGCAAAAGGACAGAGGGGCGCGA